Molecule: non-coding RNA, 217 nt
Organism: Cinara cedri
Lineage: Eukaryota; Metazoa; Arthropoda; Insecta; Hemiptera; Aphididae
Source: the annotation of a GenBank genome assembly
CGGAAGACAGCGCAUAAUAUGACUUAAUAUGUACAAUGUUUUGGCGUUUUUUUUUUCUCCGUGAAUUCAUAUACUAUAUUUUAAACCGGUAGGUUUUUUUUAUUUUUGUUGUUGUUGUCGUUUUACCAUCAGAGAUUAUUAUUAUUAUCAUCAAAAAAUGCACGAGUCAUUAUUAUUUCCAUUAUUGUCGAGAAUUGAACGCUUUACCUAUACGGUG